This 5255-nucleotide unclassified non-coding RNA is filed under the name Hevea brasiliensis (rubber tree). Lineage: Eukaryota; Viridiplantae; Streptophyta; Magnoliopsida; Malpighiales; Euphorbiaceae. The record is from RNAcentral.
GAGAGAGAAAAAAGGUUUGACGAUUAGGAAACGAGAAAGCGAGACAAAGGUUCAGUGACAAACCCAAGGUUACAAAGCGCGUUCAGUCUUCUCUUUACCAAAAUCACUACUCUCUAUCCCAAUCUAAACUAAAGAAUUUCUAAUCAAUUGAUAAAACGCCAAACAAUUGCUGAUAGAGAUCAAUAAUGGAUUCUCUCAAUUCACAGCAACUAUCGAAGGUUUGAUUUGAUACCCUCUCUCUCUUUUAUCUGUCGUCGAAGACAAAAUCCUUUCUGGGUUUGCCUCUGAUUUGUGUUUCCAAUCGAUGGCCACUGUUAUUAAGAUCUGUGGAUUUACAUGCUAUAAAAUCGUGAUAUAGUUUGGUGGGUACUGGCUAUUUCUAGGGUUUUCGCUUUCGAGUUGCUGGAAAAUUGUUCCUGCUGCUUAAUUCUGAUGUAUCAAAUUCAACUUGAUCAAAUACUAAAGGAUAGAUAUAUAUAGAAAGAGAGCGAGAGAUUGCAUAAUCAAUAGAAUAAGCUGUCUUCCUGGUAACGAAGAAAGAUGCAAUCUAGAAGGCAUGAUGACUACGUGACACUAUCUCCAUCUUCAAAGCUACAUAAUCAACGUAGAUGUGAAGUAGGACAUGACUCUUUUUCAGUAUCUCGCCGAGAUUUCGUGGAUCGGUCUCCUCGCCUGCAGAGGAGUUUAAGUCCUCAUACUAAGAUUGAUGGGUCUAGAAGGGUAUUAAUAAGGCAAGGAAGAAGCGGUUCAACUGAAAGGAGGGAGUACAGUUGGCAUCUAGGUGCUAGCAUGGCUGAAAAGGUCCUCUCUGGUUCGCCCCCUUCUGUACAAAAGCACAGAAAGCCUCACUUUGAUGAGGUUGCUGCACGUAGCAAAUAUGAAUAUGCUGAUGAUUUCAAUUAUGGAGACAGUAAAAGUAAUAGACUAAAGCAUGUUAAUGGGUAUGAUCAUGUUGCUUCUUCUAGAAUUUGUAAAGAGAACGAUUUUAGUGAAAACAGGUUUCCGGGUAAUGAUGGGCAUGCGAUAAUGGGGCAGAAGUUGGUGCCCAUGGAAGGUGGAAUUAUAAGAGGGUUGCAUCAUGGACCUCCAGAUUUCAUUCCUGCCCCAAGUUAUGGGAAAACUGGUGAGCGUCUACAGUUGCAAUCCCGGCAAAUGGAUAUGAACCAGUUUGAGAAUGAGAAACUUGGGUAUCUGCAGCCUAUAUCCCCAGAUAAGAUACCACUAAUGGGAUUACACAAAGGGGAAAAACCUAUGUUUUGCUUGAGGGAGAAUUCAUACACAACAAACCCAGCUUAUCUCUCUAAGGGUUUUGGGACCUCUAAUUUCAAAGAUUUUGCUGGCACAUCUUCAGGUGUCUCAAGGGGUGCGUUUCCGAGUUCUUACAGGGAAGGUGUGCCCCUGUCUGCUUCUGAUGAAUAUCCAAGGAACAUUAUGAAACUCACAGAACCUGUGGAUUUAAGCACAAAUGGUCAAAGGUCAGCUGUAGAUUUAAGAAAUGUAGAAACUGGUAAGAGAAUUCUGACAAGUUAUCCUUAUGUUGCCCCUAGCCCAAACAGAACAGAACAUGAUGAUUACCUUUACCCUAAAUCACAGGGAUUAGUGAAUGAAGACAUUGCCUAUCCAUCUGAUGAAUUCUACAAAAGGAUGCCACCAUGCACUCAGUUAGAUCAUGAGCUAGCUCGAGCAGAUUUUGAGUAUGGAGAAUUGUCAAGAAUGAGUAUUAUGUGCCCUAUCGAAGAAAAGACUGAUCCAAUGCCAGAUUCAUACAGAAAAAGGAAAAAUAACAGUACAUGGGACCAUGCUAUACGCAAGCAGGCAGCUAUGGGGGGCCUUGGCACAAGUAGAAUAUCAUAUGCACCAAAGCAUAGUGGGGAAUAUUUGGGUUCUGAAUAUUCUCGAGUUGAAUUUGGAAGGAGAGUCUCACAAGAUAGCGAAGUAUCUCAUUUGGAUGUAACACAGGAUCAACAAACCUCACAUUUGAGAUCAAAUUAUGGAUUUGGAAGAGAUGCAGGUCCUCAGUUUGAAAAAGAAAGAUUAGUGGAUCCUGUUAUGUCCAUGUAUGACUUGCAUGUGCAGAAAUUUUCUGUCAAAAGGCAGAGAAUGGAGGAGCUUGCCAUAUAUGAACCAUCUAAUAAAUUGCUCAAAAGAAAUUACAGUGUGAAGGAAGAUUUAAAUAGUUGUGAUCCAAGAGCCAUUGUGUCAAGCAAACGGUAUGCAUCUCUAGAAUACAAGGAUGCAUAUGACAGUGGUGAGGAAUGGAUUGAGGAAAAUCUAAGUUCUUUACAUCCAUCUAGGACUCAGAGGUUUGACCACAAUGCAUACAGAAAGGCUAAGAGGACAUAUGAUGGGCAAGACCAUGAUGGAGAUUUUGCCUCUGAAGACUGGUUGUCUUCUCAAGAUUCUUUGGCGCAUUCACGAAAGCAAUCUAUUAGAUAUUAUAAACCAAGUGUUAAAUAUAUGAAGGGUCAUCCAAAAUCUGGUUCUUUAAGCUGGUAUAACUCACAUCAGACUGAUAAAAGAAGUGGAAUUUACAGAAAGCACAAAACUUGGAAAAGAAAUGAAGAAUAUGAUGAGGCUGAACGGGCAAAUGAUGAUGAUCCAUCAGAAGAUUGGGUGAAUAUGGCAGACUCUGAGCCAUGUGAGGAUUCUGUGGAAUUUAAGCAACUGGUUCAUCAAGCCUUUUUAGAUUAUUCUAAGAAAUUGAAUUUGAGCUUGGCGGUUCGAAGAAGAUACAAGGAGCAAGGAAAAGCUGGUAGUUUGUUCUGCAUUGUAUGUGGCAGAAGGUCUGUUUUCUCUCCUGUGUGUACCCUUUAAAAGUGGAACACAUUUUCAUAUUUAAUUCUGGAGUUCCUAGUUAUACUCUUACAGUAGCUAACAGGUGAGUAAUUAUUAACUUAGAAAUUUGUUGGUCGAGUUCCAUAUGGAUUCUAUUACGGCUACUUAUGUUCGUGGAUUUCAUGGUGGGUUCUGGUAUCAAUCAUGCAAGGUGGAGCAAGAGCUUUUGGUGAAUUCCAAGUUACAUAUAAAUGACAUAUUGAUGAAACUUUCAAGUGCUUUUAUGACAUAAAUUAUGCUUCAAAUGACACAUGAUUUUCUUUAUCCAUCUUCUAUUGUAAUUUUUAUUGUUGGAAUAUAACUAUCACUUAGUGAGAGGUCGCUGAUCUGGUGAUUUGGGUUUACAGUUUCAUUCCUAAUGUAGCUAUGAAUAAUUAUAUAUAGAUUUCAUGGAGCAAGUUUUAAUCUAUAGAGUUAUUUUAACCAAUCUGCAUUGGAAUUAGGUCCCUUGUUCUUCAAGACUAUCUUGUAGUAAACUUGUGAAUCCUUUUGAAAAGAGAUAUCUGCCUUGUGUAGGUUAAUUGUUGUGGCUUUUGAGUAGCGGGAGCCUUUGAUGGAGUUUGAGUUCCAUAACAUUUGAACUACUAAUGGGAUUAUAUUAUAGCUAGUACAUUUUUGUUGCUGGGAUGUCAUUGUGCAGCUAGGAGAAGUGAAGGACAAAAGUUAGACUGGAUGUUUGGGGUGGGUAUAUUACACAAUGGGACUAUUGUUGUGGACAGGUUAGAAAGCUAUUAUUAAGGUAGCAGUUCAAUCCAAGAUCCUGCAUUAUAUUAGAUAGCAGUUGAAUUUGAUUCCCUUUUUUUUGGUCUUGAAAUGCUGUGUUUUUCAUCAUGAUCUGAACAUAUAUUUAUGUGGACUUGAUGAACAUAUGACAAUUUUUAUAGUUUAAUAUUGAUAGCACUGAUAAAGCUUCCUUCCUUACUUGUCUAGAUGGAUGUGGUGAUUUUUUAUCAAUUUACUUUUACUGUUAAUGAUUAUAGGUUUUGCUCCAUUUUUAAAUGUUUGUAUGUGUGUACUUUUACAGCUCAUCAAGGGAUUUCAUGGACACUCAACGCUUGGUAACACAUGCUUUCAUGUCUUACAAGUAUGGGUUGAGAGCCCAGCACCUGGGUCUUCAUAAAGCAAUAUGCGUUUUGAUGGGGUGGAAUACUUAUGUGUCUUGUGAUACGAGAACUUGGGUUCCAGAUGUCUUGCCUGAGGCAGAAGCUUGGGCUCAGAAGGAGGAUCUGGUUAUCUGGCCUCCACUUGUUAUCAUCCACAAUAUCUCUAUGUCAAAUGUCAAUCCAGAUCAACAGAAGGUUGUGCCUAUUGAAGGGGUAGAAGCUUUUCUUAGAGGUUAGUAACAACUUUUUUUGGUAUAUUGGAAAUUCAGGUGAGUAACUUCAACGAUCAAUUAUUUAAUAUACUUGUGCCAAAAUUGGUAUUUGAGUAGAAAUUGCAUGUAAAAGCAUUCUUUCUAAGUUGGAAAAAUAUUAUAAAUUUAGUCAUUGAACAUGAGGAGAAUAUAAAAAGCAUAUAUGUUUGAAAUCUUUGUUCAGUUUUUGUAUCAGUGGCAGUAUUUAGGAUGCUUAAAAUUGGAUUUGUAAAUAUGUGAAUUUUUGGCUCAACAAUGAGGCUUUACUAAAAUUUUCUUGCAUCAUCGCUAAUCUAUCCUAAUAUCUGUGGUUCUCUUGAUGAUGAUAGGUAAAGGUUUUGUUGGGGGAAAAAUCAAGGUAUGCCUAGGUAAACCUGCUGACCAAAGUGUUAUGUUGAUAAAGUUUUUGGGCACCUUCACUGGACUUGGAAAUGCAGAGAGACUUCAUGAAUAUUUUGCUGAGAAAAAACGCGGGAGAGAAGAAUUUGAACGCAAAACAUCCAAUGCUAACAAAAGCAGCAAUGGUUUUGAAGCAGAAAUACAGGGAGACAUGUUGGAGGAUCGCCUACUAUAUGGAUACAUGGGGGUUGUGGAUGACUUGGACAAACUUGAUUUUAAUACCAAGAAGUGGAUCUCGGUGAAGAGCAAGAAGGAUAUUCAAGAUCUGGAGAAUGAUCCUGUUAAAACUGAUGAUAGAUAGCCAUCUCAAUAUUGCAAUUAAGGGAGCGAAGAGGGCUCUGCCCUGCUCCAUCCAGGCACUAAAAUUUCCAAGGAUCCCCUGCUCCACCUCCUUCAGGUUGGAAUACUGGCUCUGCCAGCCAUUGACAGUUACUAAUUUGUAAGUCAUGGAAGUAACACAUGCUACGGAUCAAGGAAGAUGGAGAAAAGCAUUUGGUGAUUAAGCUUAAAAUUUUGUGCAAGAUUUUGCUUUAUCUUUUUCGCACUGGGCAUUUUAGCCAGAUAGUACAUGAAGCUAUGUACACAGAUUUAAAUUCCAAGUAUCUCUUAUGAUCUUAGCUUACAAAUGUAACAUGUGUUAUUACCCACUCGGUGCUCUACCUCUCUC